GCCUGGCUAGCUCAAUCGGUAGAGCGUGAGACUUUUACGAACCAUUGAUCGAAGUGGUGUCUAUCUCAAGGCUGCGGGUUCGAGCCCCGCGUCGGGCU
Non-coding RNA from Ceratobasidium sp. 392, 98 nucleotides. Lineage: Eukaryota; Fungi; Basidiomycota; Agaricomycetes; Cantharellales; Ceratobasidiaceae. The record is from the annotation of a GenBank genome assembly.